GUGUGCGUUGAAAUUGGAGUGAAAAUGUGUGUGCCAUUCUAAUGACUGCUCUAAUCGGCUCUUUUCAAUGAGGGGGUGAAGCUGGCUGAGGAGGGUAAUGGGGAAUCCUUUCAAUCAACCAUUACACUCAUUUCUGAGAGAAGAUGAAGAGCAGAAGGAGCCCAUUAAUCCGGAGGAGAUAAACAGUGUGUGAGCAAUCAAGAAACCAGCAUGCUGAAAACCCCCAGGUGUCUUUCAGGAAUUUCAUGAAUCUCACAAAAUCUUAGCGCUUACAUACAUAAUUCGUUCUCAUCAUUUUCGAGAGAAGCUCAUCAAACCACCAAAAAAUAGAUGAGAAACUCAGUCUGUCACCGAGGAGUUUGGAAGGGGUAAAGACAGGAGGAUGAUCUAUUUUGUGUAUUCUGCAUGCUCCUUAUUUUACUUCCUUAUUCUCAGAAUAAACUUAACCUGCAACACAGAGAUCUAGCCUUAAUUCUCAAUAUUUAAGGAGGCAUUUGUUAAACUGAGAGCAGAGUUAAACUUUUGUAUACAGUAUUUGUCUAUAUUAUAUGUAAACCCUUUUGUCGGAAACAACUGGAGGUACAACACAGGAAGUUAGUAGGCAGAUGUUAUGAUUUGCAUAUUACUAACGAGACGGCAAUCAGAUGUCUAACUGGAGACUAAUUUGAAGUUCAAAUGCAUUUGCUUAAAAUCUUAUCAGGAUACAAUUCAGAUGCAAGAAGCCUGAAAUGACUAGGUGGACGUCAAACUUGGUAUAAUAUUAAUAUUUCAUGAACACCAGCACAAUUUUAUAUUCAGGUCAGAAAGACAUUCACUUUUUCUUGUAAAAGACUGGCCACCUCUAUUGCUUGCGAUUCUGGAAGAGGUUUAAAUCCACCCCAUGAUUCCUGAAAAACCUGUUCAAAUCCCAAUCAAGGCACAAUCCUAUUAUCGCAAAGAUCAUUUCAUGUUUUAAAAUAUUUUCCGUCCUUAAAGGUGAUCGUCUGAAAAUAUUUCUAAUCGUAAAAUUAAAAAGGUGUAUUUGUAAUCAUAAAAUUGGUAAAUCGUAAAAAAAAAAAAGACUCAGUCGUUCAGUAAAUAUGAUGAAACAAAUCUGUGAUUUUUAUAUAAAACAACAUGUACAUGUACAAAUUUAAGUGCCGUAAAUGGUCUCCGCUGUGUAAGGAUGCAUAAACCCACUGGGUAAAGGAUGUACUGAACAGGUAUAUGUGAACACAGGCCAAGAGGCACCUUCUUCCA
Long non-coding RNA from Ictalurus furcatus (blue catfish), 1239 nucleotides. RefSeq lists it as uncharacterized. The transcript is spliced from 3 exons. The record is from RefSeq and is a predicted model, not a curated record. Lineage: Eukaryota; Metazoa; Chordata; Actinopteri; Siluriformes; Ictaluridae.